UUGACUGUCGCAUAUAGGAAGUGCAACUGAUUGCUAGUCAGAGGGUCAUGGUUCGAUUCCAUAGGGUCAAU
Molecule: transfer RNA, 71 nt
Organism: Paramecium tetraurelia
Lineage: Eukaryota; Ciliophora; Oligohymenophorea; Peniculida; Parameciidae
Rfam family: tRNA
About the family: Transfer RNA (tRNA) molecules are approximately 80 nucleotides in length. Their secondary structure includes four short double-helical elements and three loops (D, anti-codon, and T loops).
Source: Rfam